Molecule: RNA transcript, 1171 nt
Organism: Cannabis sativa
Lineage: Eukaryota; Viridiplantae; Streptophyta; Magnoliopsida; Rosales; Cannabaceae
Exons: 2
Source: RefSeq, a predicted model, not a curated record
UAUAAUACUGAUUAAAUUAACCAGGUACUCCAUAUAUACAAACACUUUAUACGUAUAUAUAUAUAUAAAUAUAUAGCUAAGCAAUGUAAUUUAGUGAUAAAUGAAUUAAUUAACUAUGUCAUAUAUACACUAUUUAUAUAUAUAUUUGUUGUCUAUUUAUUUCUAUCUCAAGUUUUUGUUGUGUUCCUUAGUUUUUGUGCAAAGGCUAGUUUUAGAGCAGUAAAUUGUUUUUAAUUAUCACUGUCUUUAUAUAUUUUGUAUGUAUGAAUUAUAUAUAUGGCUAAGUAAAGUGACUUAUAUAAUAAUUUAUUUAGAUAAUAUAUUAUGCUUAUUUGAAUUUAAGUUGUAGUCAGUAAGUCAUGUAAUGGAUUCACAAAAUGAACUAAUUCCUUGAUGUUUUUCCUAAACUAAUUCUUUCUUAAUUUUUGUAGGGUUUAGUUGAUGUUGUGGCUAACAUCCCAGAUGUAUCACGACAUUUUUGUUGUUUUCAUUUGGAGAACAACAUGGUGAAAAAAUUUGGCGCAUCAGAACUUAAAGUACUAUUUUGGGUAGCAGCUGAGACAGCAAAUUUUGAUAAUUUCAAGCAUAUAAUGGAUUGUAUAAAGGCAGUCAAUAAAGAAGCACAUGAGUGGUUGAGUAAUAUUGACUUCAACCAUUGGUGCAUGAGCAAAUUUGAUACAAAUGUUAAGCAUACCUCAAUGAUGUAUACAAGGAAUUGACAACAGAUAGAUGGCAUCACAAGUUAACUCCAAAAGCACACUUGAAAGUUCAAGAAAUCCAAAAAAAGAGCACGUUUUGCACGUGUAGCAAAGGUUAUUAAUCUUGAAUUUCAGGUUGAUUAUGCUGGAAAAAGGUGUAUUGUGCGACUGAAUGAAGGAUAUUGUAUAUGUGGCCAAUGGCAAGUGAGGGGAUUACCUUGUAUUCAUGCAACUACUUGUAUAAACACUAUAAGGGCAGACAUUUUUAAUUAUUGUUCGCCAUACUUCACUACUGAAAUGUGGAGGAAGAGUUUUCAAAAAGCUAUUCAUCCUAUACCUGAUGAAUCGAUGUGGCCUGAGUUUGAUGAUGAGAAAUUACUACCGCUAAUAAUAAAAAAAACUUCUAGGUAGACCUAAAAAACAUCGUAGAAGAAGAGUUGCAGGAGAGGAGAGGCCUUUACCUCUUGAAGUUC